CUACGGGGGGCAGCAGUGAGGAAUUUUGCACAAUGGGGGAAACCCUGAUGCAGCAACGCCGCGUGUACGAAGAAGGCCCUAGGGUCGUAAAGUACUUUCAGAAGGGAAGAAGGUUGCUCGGUUAAGAGCUAAGUAACUUGACGGUACCUUCAGAAGAAGCUCCGGCUAACUCCGUGCCAGCAGCCGCGGUAAUACGGAGGGAGCAAGCGUUGUUCGGAUUUACUGGGCGUAAAGCGCGCGUAGGUGGCUUGCCAAGCCGGAAGUGAAAGCCCACGGCCUAACCGUGGAAUUGCUUUCGGAACUGGCAAGCUAGAGGAUGAGAGGGGAAGGCGGAAUUCCAGGUGUAGCGGUGAAAUGCACAGAUAUCUGGAGGAACACCAGUGGCGAAGGCGACCUUCUGGAUCAUACCUGACACUGAGGUGCGAAAGCGUGGGGAGCGAACAGGAUUAGAUACCCCCGUAGUC
This 464-nucleotide ribosomal RNA is filed under the name uncultured bacterium. RNAcentral describes it as "partial 16S ribosomal RNA". It matches the Rfam family "Bacterial small subunit ribosomal RNA", at positions 339 to 795 of the family's 1533-position model. The record is from RNAcentral.